RNAcentral lists this unclassified non-coding RNA (232 nucleotides) under uncultured fungus. RNAcentral describes it as "sequence contains ITS1". Lineage: Eukaryota; Fungi. The record is from RNAcentral.
AUUGCACACUAUUUGAUGUAGUUUUCAAUUUUUUAACCUCUUUGUUUACCUUAUACCAUAUUGCUUUCACUGGACAGGUUGAGACUUGUGUGUUUGACUAUGCAUAUCAGCCCCUUAGCUUGAUAUCCUCUUUCCAGGUAUUAGCUGAGGAGUUUCCAGUGGAUGAAGAAAAUAAAAAAAACAAAAAACAUAAAGACUUGUCUGAUUUUGGCUUGAACAAAAAAGAAUAAUA